This 4624-nucleotide unclassified non-coding RNA is filed under the name Harpegnathos saltator (Jerdon's jumping ant). Its description in RNAcentral is "metabotropic glutamate receptor 2, transcript variant X6". The record is from RNAcentral. Lineage: Eukaryota; Metazoa; Arthropoda; Insecta; Hymenoptera; Formicidae.
UCUCUUUCCCGUAGGCGCGCGCGUCCUAUGUAGAGUCGACAUAAAGAAUCAAAGUCGCCACGAGCAAUUAAACGAGCGUGCGGGACCAACGGAAGCGAACUUUGCCCGACAAUCACCCGUCGGUUGUCGCGCUCUUUCCUUCAACAAAUCAUGAUAUUAUCGGCCGAAAUCCCCAUCAUCCCGAGUGCACGAUAAGAGAACGCGCGCCGCGUGGGAUGCUGGGAAGAGGGGUUGGUUCGGUUCAAGCCGGCGCCCUCGCGCCACAAGUUCCUUCAGUAUACGCGCGUAGCUACAUUCGGUUGGACCCUAUCUCGUAUCGUGUCCGAGAAUCGCGUCGCCUUUCGAUGAAAACUACCACGAGGAGGUCGUAUUUUGUCGAAAGCGGCUUGUAUUACGCGACGAUGUACCAUCGCGGGCCCGAUAAGAAAUAAGAGAACUUCGGGAAUUCGGGCCGGCGUCGAUUUGAAAAAAUUCACCAGUCUCCAAAGUGCUUCUUAAUUUCGAACGGCCGUCCCCAUAACUUCGAACCCGUCGCCCUGUGUAGGGAUUUGCAUACCGCUCGAUCGCUCGUCGGGGACAUCAAAGCGACGGAAUAUCGACGUGACCUGCUGCGCGUUCUCGUCGUGACGGUUUCUCGAUUCUUCGGGAACUUUUCGUAACGACGCCGUUUCCGUCCAAUAUCACGCGGAUCGCUCAAAGUGCUCUUCGAAUCACGAUGAACAGAAGGGUGCCGCUGGUGCGGAAAUGAGCCGUUUACGGCUCGUGUUCGUCUUUUUCCCGUCGCGAGGGCUGUGCUCGCUAACGAGAAACUUUCGCGUCGGGUAGAUCGUAAACAAUCGCGCCGCGAACAAUCUGUACGCGCGACAAUGUAAUUCCGUGAUUUUCAGGAUAUCUCACCUCGGCGGCACAAUUGUAAUUUUCGCAUCAUGUCCGCCAGGGAGAUUCAAUUAAUUCCAAUUUGCACGUACCAGCAGUACCGAGGCAAUAUAUCCCGAGUCCCCCGUGGCUUCUUCCGGUACGUUUGAUAAUGCCCGUCUCGAGAAUUCUUCCGUUGAAAAUAUCGCUCGAGAUUUUUCUCUCGAGACAAAAAGCGCCGACCGCCCGCACGCGUAACCCCCACGAAGCAUCCAUUCAUAUCGCGAAGACGCCGUAGUGCUUCGACGACAAGAAGGAAGGACGGCGAUAUUAAAAGAACGAAGUUUCACUAAAGGAACCUGGCGAUGAUUAAUGCGCCGAAGAGGUGAUGUGGCGAAACUCCGGCUGGACGGCCAUCCUGGCCGUUUGGACGCUCUUCUUGAUUUUGAAUAGCGGCUUAGCCGGCGAGAGGAUUUCCGAUAAUCCGGGCAUCAACAAGGACGCUCGCACCUCCCGCGAGGUUCGCCGAGGAGCCGCAAUUCCCGUGCUCGAUAAGCAGCCCGUUGACGAUUCCCGGCCGCGGCGAUACGCGAGAGAGAGCGAUCGUUCAUCAACGUAUACGGGGGCGGUACCGCCGGCUGAAUCGAAAAAUACGGCAACUCGGCACUUGAAUGGCCUCGGAAAGCGCAUUGCGAUGUCAAACGCAAUAGCCACGCCAUCGCCGAAGUGCUCGAGAGGCGGAGGAGGCGACGGAAAUGCUCGACUGGCCGCCGCUGAAAGAGUCGCAACGGUGAGUACGCGGUUGUCGCAAAUAGUAAUUCCGGAAAAGCCGGGGGACGCGCGCUACCGCGAGUCGUCCCGAGUGCGGGAAGCGAGAAACGCCCGGAGCCACGGAGGAGGUCGGAAAGAAGAAACCACCAACGUGUUUUUAGACAUUCGCAAAGAGACACGGGCGGUCAGGCGUGACGCGACGAUCGACCGGCGAAGAGGGCGACAUUUUAACGGAGGAAACGGCGCGACCGCAGCUGUAUUCCUCCACGGCAAGUUCUUCAAACGCUCAGGCCGCUCACGCGCGCGACGGCUCUUCGACGCUUCGACGACGGCGGAUCCUCGGCAUCGCGAUCUCACGAGGAACAGCGUGAACGAAGCGAGCUACGCCGAAGACGACGGCGAUUCGCGGCUCUCGGCGGAGACGGCCUUCCCGAGGCGCUCGGCUUCGAGAGGGAAUCAAAGUCACGCGGCUGUGCGAAGCGCGCCGGAUAUUUUUACAGACCGCACGAUCGCGAGGACCUCCUCGUCGCACGGAAGACCCGCCGCGAUCAUUGCGAGCUCGUGGACCGUGUGGAUCUCGGGUCCCGGGGUCCGCGAAAAGCCGUUCGGUCGCUAUCACUUCCCGCGGGACGAGUAUCCGAAAUCAAGCUACAAAGCGACCGUCGAGUCUCCGGCGCUCGGUCGGCUGCUGCACGAGCGGCGCCGCGGAGGGAAACGCUCAAAGAUAGGACUUGAGGUAAAUACAAGCGUGCGCGAGGACAGAAGACGGGACGAGGAUGCCAGGAACUCCCUCGCUUCUCGCGCACCGAAUUCGCCCGAUGGAUAUCUCAAUGCGAGUCGCUUUAUGGAACGACCGCCGGUGCGGGGCGAGGAAGGGGGGGACGCUGCUUUGAGAGCAGCGAGAGAUGCAGAGGCCUCGCGACGCGAAUAUCAUUCUUCGGUACGCAAUGUCGGCGGGCUACGGGGCGAGCGAGCGACGAGUCUGCCGCGAGUAAGAAGGAAGACCAUCGGGCCGAAGGGACUCGAAGGGGUGAGCGGCGAUGCGAUGGUGGACGAGAGCGAUCCGUCAUCUCCCGAUUUGGCUGCCGGCUCGCGGCUCGAUGAGUCGCAGCCGGAGCUUCCGAUAUCAGCGCGUAUUUCAGUCACGCAGCGGUGGAAUCCAAUGCACGUGCGACACGUUAAGUCCGGAAUGGCCUGCGAGCGUCGGCUCGCGGUUGGCCAGGCCGAAGUUCGCGGUGCGGUUGAAGUCGGCCUCCGGAAUGUCUCCGGCGGGCCCGCGUCGGCGGGGGUUGCAAAAUUCGGAAACUCGUCCGAGCAAAGAGCGCGGAGUCGGCCGAGAUAUUCGCGGAAGUUGACGGCGCUCGGACCUGUUAGACCGUCGUCACGCAUCGUCGUGGAGUCGGCAGGUGACGGGCGCGUCUCGGGACUCGACGGCCGGUCUUCGCAGACUUCCACCGCGAGCGGAUCGGUCUCUCCCGACGCGGUGAUUAUCGCCAAUAAUUCGAUCGAGAUGUGGCACACCGAUGAACACGCGUCGCCAACUCCGCCGUUCGAGGAGCUCACGGACGAGCUUGGGUUUCGCGAAAGCGCGGAAAUCGUGCGAACGAACAAUCCGGGUGGAAAGGAGGAUGACGCGCCAAGAGAGCCCGCUAGCCGAAGCCCUCGAGACGAAGACGCUCGCGACUCGACGUAUCGGCGAUAUAAGCGUCACCAAGUUUGGUCGAGCCCUUGGAAAAGUUGGACGUUGACGAAGUCUAAGACGCGUAGGGCACUCGACACGAUAACAAGACCGGAGACGAUGAGAAUGGUGAGCCCGACGCUCGAGUUGAUCGCGAGCCCAUCCAUUUCGACUGCUCAAAUGAGCGAUACGGCUCGAGUGUCACUCUCCGCCGAAGAAUCCAUCAUGAGUAUCGUGGGGACGACGACGACGUCGUCUCCCAAGUACCGCGGAAUCCAGACGGAACGGCGAUCGAUAACGCCGGUGGCCACCGAUUACGCGCGAUACACCAGCAGCACUCGAGCGAGAACGAGCUCCGACUCAUUAGAGAUACCGGCGCACACCGGCGCCCCGAAAACGUCGUCGAGCGUCAGCACGGCGGAAAGACCGGCUUCAUCUCUGAUGAAGACGCGCGAUCGAUCGACCGCGGUAACCAAAAUAGAUAACUCCGUUACCCGCGAAGAAGCAGCUCCGCCGGUUGCGGAAGUAACCGCGCGGCCAGCCGGCCGCGAGAACACCUCGAGCGGGUCAUCAAUCGAGCCGAUUAGCUCGGCGGAAGGACGUGCGGAGUACGCCGACAGCUCGGCCGGCCUGACGACCCCGAUCGUAGAUUCGCCUGCUCCAAGCAGCGGCGAGCACACUCGAGGUGUCUUCGUUAACGUCACGGCGGAGAAUGUCGACGACUCAUCGGCCGGUACCGCGCUCUUGGACCAGUGGCCGGUGAAACACAGCGCGGUGGUGGAGGGCGACCUCGUCCUCGGUGGGUUAAUGAUGGUCCACGAGCGGGAAGAUACCAUCACAUGCGGCCCUGUGAUGCCUCAGGGUGGAGUGCAGGCCCUCGAGGCGAUGCUGUAUACGUUGGAUACGCUCAACGAUCGGGAGAUCGUGCCGGGGGUUAAGAUCGGGGCGCACAUACUCGACGACUGCGACAAGGACACGUACGGCCUUGAGAUGGCGGUGGAUUUCAUCAAAGGUCUCCUUUUUCUCGACGAGCCCGGAACUCUCCAACAAGCAACGCUUCGAGUAUUUCAGCCGUACCAUACCCAGUGAUCACUAUCAGGUCAAAGCGAUGGUCGACAUCGUAUUGAAAAUGGGCUGGAGCUAUGUUUCCAUCAUAUACGAGGAGAGCAACUAUGGCAUAAAGGCUUUCGAGGAGCUUGAGGAACUGCUCGGGAAACAUAACAUAUGUAUCGCCAUCAAAGAAAAGCUGGUAAAGGACUCCGGGGUCGCCGAGGAGAUCGCCUACGACAAUAUAGUUUCGAAACUGCUGACAAAGCCACG